UACGGGGGGGGCAAGCGUUGUUCGGAUUUACUGGGCGUAAAGGGCGCGUAGGCGGCACUGCAAGUCAGUUGUGAAAUCUCCGGGCUUAACCCGGAAAGGUCAACUGAUACUGCAGGGCUAGAGUGCAGAAGGGGCAACUGGAAUUCUCGGUGUAGCGGUGAAAUGCGUAGAUAUCGAGAGGAACACCUGCGGCGAAGGCGGGUUGCUGGGCUGACACUGACGCUGGGGCGCGAAAGCCAGGGGAGCGAACGGG
RNAcentral lists this ribosomal RNA (253 nucleotides) under uncultured bacterium. RNAcentral describes it as "partial 16S ribosomal RNA". It matches the Rfam family "Bacterial small subunit ribosomal RNA", at positions 524 to 776 of the family's 1533-position model. The record is from RNAcentral.